This 497-nucleotide ribosomal RNA is filed under the name uncultured bacterium. RNAcentral's name for it is "partial 16S ribosomal RNA". It matches the Rfam family "Bacterial small subunit ribosomal RNA", at positions 28 to 507 of the family's 1533-position model. The record is from RNAcentral.
GAUGAACGCUGGCGGCGUGCCUAAUACAUGCAAGUCGAGCGAACGGACGAGAAGCUUGCUUCUCUGAUGUUAGCGGCGGACGGGUGAGUAACACGUGGAUAACCUACCUAUAAGACUGGGAUAACUUCGGGAAACCGGAGCUAAUACCGGAUAAUAUUUUGAACCGCAUGGUUCAAAAGUGAAAGACGGUCUUGCUGUCACUUAUAGAUGGAUCCGCGCUGCAUUAGCUAGUUGGUAAGGUAACGGCUUACCAAGGCAACGAUGCAUAGCCGACCUGAGAGGGUGAUCGGCCACACUGGAACUGAGACACGGUCCAGACUCCUACGGGAGGCAGCAGUAGGGAAUCUUCCGCAAUGGGCGAAAGCCUGACGGAGCAACGCCGCGUGAGUGAUGAAGGUGUUCGGAUCGUAAAGCUCUGUUAUUAGGGAAGAACAUAUGUGUAAGUAACUGUGCACAUCUUGACGGUACCGAAUCAGAAAGCCACGGCUAACUACGUG